Molecule: long non-coding RNA, 1507 nt
Organism: Gigantopelta aegis
Lineage: Eukaryota; Metazoa; Mollusca; Gastropoda; Neomphalida; Peltospiridae
Exons: 4
Source: RefSeq, a predicted model, not a curated record
CAUCCCAGUAUCCUGUUAGCCGAGUACGCUGCCGUUAGAGAUCUAAACAGACAUUUGGACAUUUAUAAUCGUUAGAUACCGAUUAUGACGACUGUCCAAGUGUCCAGCUUAGCUCUCUCACGACAGAGUAUUCGGACUAUCCUGUGAGAUAUCGCUGGAAGUAAUAAACUCGAGCUAUUUGUUUCAAUCAAUCAAUUCCAGCUUCCAGGUGCAUUUUGGAGAUGGGGGCGCGUUAGUCUAUUGAAACCCACCAGGCGAAGCGACAGCCAAGUAAGAAAAGCUACACGACACCACAUCGAGGGCAGGAGUUGUAGCCUAUUCGAUAUUAUGCAAAACACUUUACAUCUGUAACGCAAGUGGACAUUAACGACUUUAGUCAGUCUCAAUGCUUUCAUGCAAUUCUGAUUGACAAAUGCGUAACACGACUGAAAGUGGAAUAUGUUUAAUGUUUCCUUAAUGCCAACACGGUGUUAGGAACGUAUAAUACAGUUGUAGUAGGCCUGUACAACGUGAUCGAGAAGGGAGAAUACCUGGUCUACGACUCCACGUAUUUUUAAUACCCGCAAACAGCGACGUGAAGAAACAUGGAGACGUUCUCCGUUUGAUGACGCUGAACUACGUGUUGGUUACACAAGUGUACAUAUGAUCGUUCAUGCUUAGUUGUGAUGUCAGAGCCAGUUCUUCUCACUCUUCGCCAGACGUCAAUGGAACCCCCACCUUUACCCGCGCGAAAAUCCUGUAGGAUUCCGCCUCUGCCGGAAAGAACACGUCCAAAAUCCACACCCAUAUCGGAAGUGACGUCAGAAUUAGAAAAACGUUUUCGCUUCCAUUCCUUGAAUGAAUUACCCCCUCCGGAACCGCUGUCGGGGUGCAAGAAAACGUACGCCAGCGAAAACUCCAGAAAAACACCAAAAGAGCGUCCUCCGCAGCCUCCGCCUCCACUUCCGCCACGAUCCCGAUGAGUUGAAUGCGUCGUUAAAUAAAACAUUUCCUUCCUUCCUUCGAUCCCGAUGAUUGCCGGAACAGUGUGCAGACUGAAUGAAUCGGAAUCUCCAAUGUUUACUAUUUAUAGGACUUAAGAAGGCGUCAGGAGCGGCUGUUGGACUUAUCUAGGGAGGGGGCGCUUUGUCCAAAAAGGGCACCCACAGUAUUCCAAAGUACAACAUGCAUUAUAGAGGAUUUUUAUGGUACUUUGAAGUUCGGGCGAAAGAGGGAGCAAACCCCAGCAGCCUGCCGCCUGGAUCCGCACCUGGAAUUGCCAUGUGUUUGUGCACACAGACUACCAAUAAUUCAUUAAUCUGUGUCAGCUUUAAUACAUUUGUGUCCUGUUUGCGAAUCCUUACAUUGGGAACAUGUACCAAACGGACAAGAAAUAUUUGAAUUUUUUUUAACAAAUAUUUAGAACUUCAGAGAUUGCCGUAUGGGCUCCAAUUUGGGAUUUUUUUUUUUUUAGGGAGGGAGGCAGGUCUGAAUUUUUGCCUGAAUUAAACAAAAAUGCCAGUCUGGA